Molecule: ribosomal RNA, 424 nt
Filed under: Actinobacteridae bacterium Ellin7197
Lineage: Bacteria; Bacillati; Actinomycetota; Actinomycetes
Description: bacterial SSU rRNA
Rfam family: Bacterial small subunit ribosomal RNA
Source: RNAcentral
GACGAACGCUGGCGGCGUGCUUAACACAUGCAAGUCGAACGGUGAAGCCCUUCGGGGUGGAUCAGUGGCGAACGGGUGAGUAACACGUGGGUAACCUGCCCCUCACUCUGGGAUAACUCCGGGAAACCGGGGCUAAUACCGGAUACGACCUCCUUGGGCAUCCUCGGAGGUGGAAAGUUUUUCGGUGAGGGAUGGACCCGCGGCCUAUCAGCUUGUUGGUGGGGUAAUGGCCUACCAAGGCUUUGACGGGUAGCCGGCCUGAGAGGGCGACCGGCCACACUGGGACUGAGACACGGCCCAGACUCCUACGGGAGGCAGCAGUGGGGAAUAUUGCACAAUGGGCGAAAGCCUGAUGCAGCGACGCCGCGUGAGGGAUGACGGCCUUCGGGUUGUAAACCUCUUUCAGCAGGGACGAAGCGCAAAU